CCUACGGGGGGCAGCAGUGAGGAAUAUUGGUCAAUGGCCGGAAGGCUGAACCAGCCAUGCCGCGUGAAGGUCAGUGCCCUAUGGGCGUUAAACUUCUUUUGUGCGGGAGCAAUAAUGGUCACGUGUGGCCAGACGAGAGUACCGUACGAAUAAGCAUCGGCUAACUCCGUGCCAGCAGCCGCGGUAAUACGGGGGAUGCAAGCGUUAUCCGGAUUUAUUGGGUUUAAAGGGUGCGUAGGGUGUGAGGUAAGUCAGCGGUGAAAUGCCCCCGCUCAACGGGGUGAAGUGCCAUUGAUACUGCCUGGCUGGAAUGCGGAUGCCGUGGGAGGAAUGUGUGGUGUAGCGGUGAAAUGCAUAGAUAUCACACAGAACACCGAUUGCGAAGGCAUCUCACGAAUCCGCGAUUGACGCUGAUGCACGAAAGCGUGGGUAUCAAACAGGAUUAGAUACCCUUGUAGUC
Molecule: ribosomal RNA, 460 nt
Filed under: uncultured bacterium
Lineage: Bacteria
Description: partial 16S ribosomal RNA
Rfam family: Bacterial small subunit ribosomal RNA
Source: RNAcentral